Molecule: transfer RNA, 72 nt
Filed under: Nanobdellota archaeon
Lineage: Archaea; Nanobdellati; Nanobdellota
Description: tRNA-Val
Rfam family: tRNA
About the family: Transfer RNA (tRNA) molecules are approximately 80 nucleotides in length. Their secondary structure includes four short double-helical elements and three loops (D, anti-codon, and T loops). Further hydrogen bonds mediate the characteristic L-shaped molecular structure. tRNAs have two regions of fundamental functional importance: the anti-codon, which is responsible for specific mRNA codon recognition, and the 3' end, to which the tRNAs corresponding amino acid is attached (by aminoacyl-tRNA synthetases). tRNAs cope with the degeneracy of the genetic code in two manners: having more than one tRNA (with a specific anti-codon) for a particular amino acid; and 'wobble' base-pairing, i.e. permitting non-standard base-pairing at the 3rd anti-codon position.
Source: RNAcentral
GGGCCCGUGGUCUAGUGGCUAGGACAUAACCUUCACACGGUUAGGGCAGGAGUUCAAUUCUCCUUGGGCCCA